Molecule: ribosomal RNA, 468 nt
Filed under: uncultured bacterium
Lineage: Bacteria
Description: partial 16S ribosomal RNA
Rfam family: Bacterial small subunit ribosomal RNA
Source: RNAcentral
GACGAACGCUGGCGGCGUGCUUAACACAUGCAAGUCGAACGGAAAGGCCCUGCUUUUGUGGGGGGCUCGAGUGGCGAACGGGUGAGUAACACGUGAGUAACCUGCCCUUGCCUUUGGGAUAACUUCAGGAAACUGGGGCUAAUACCGGAUAUGAGCUCCUGCUGCAUGGUGGGGGUUGGAAAGUUUCGGCGGUUGGGGAUGGACUCGCGGCUUAUCAGCUUGUUGGUGGGGUAGUGGCUUACCAAGGCUGUGACGGGUAGCCGGCCUGAGAGGGUGACCGGCCAUAUUGGGAAUGAGAUACGGCGCAGACUCCUACGGGAGGCAGCAGUGGGGAAUAGUGCACAAUGGGAGGAAGCCUGAGGCAGCAACGCCGGGUGCGGGAUGACGGCCUUCGGGUUGUAGACCGCUUUCGCCUGUGACGAAGCGUGAGUGACGGUAAUGGGUAAAGAAGCACCGGCUAACUACGUG